RNAcentral lists this ribosomal RNA (481 nucleotides) under uncultured bacterium. RNAcentral's name for it is "partial 16S ribosomal RNA". It matches the Rfam family "Bacterial small subunit ribosomal RNA", at positions 28 to 506 of the family's 1533-position model. The record is from RNAcentral.
GAUGAACGCUCGCGGCAGGCCUAAUACAUGCAAGUCGAACGAGAUUAAGAGGCUUGCUUCUUAUGAAAGUGGCGCACGGGUGCGUAACGCGUAUGCAACCUACCUUAAUCAGGGGGAUAGCCCGAAGAAAUUCGGAUUAAGACCGCAUAAAAACACAGGAUAGCAUUAUCCAAUGUUCAAAUAUUUAUAGGAUUAAGAUGGGCAUGCGUGUCAUUAGCUAGUUGGCGGGGUAACGGCCCACCAAGGCGACGAUGACUAGGGGAUCUGAGAGGAUGACCCCCCACACUGGUACUGAGACACGGACCAGACUCCUACGGGAGGCAGCAGUAAGGAAUAUUGGUCAAUGGAGGGAACUCUGAACCAGCCAUGCCGCGUGCAGGAAGACAGCCCUCUGGGUCGUAAACUGCUUUUAUUCGGGAAUAAACCUUUCUACGUGUAGGAAGCUGAAUGUACCGAAGGAAUAAGGAUCGGCUAACUCCGU